AGAGUUUGAUUAUGGCUCAGGAUGAACGCUGGCGGCGUGGAUAAGGCAUGCAAGUCGAGUGGGUUUAGGCCCACGGCAAACGGGUUCGGAAUACAUAGGAAUUUUCCCCAGAGUCGUGAAUAAUUCGGAGAAAUCCGAGCUAAUACACGAUACGCUCUACGGAGUAAAGAUUUAUCGCUUUGGGAUGAGCCUGUGUCCUAUCAGCUUGUUGGUGAGGUAAAAGCUCACCAAGGCUCUGACGGGUAGGGGGUGUGAGAGCAUGACCCCCAACAUUGGAACUGAGACACUGUCCAAACACCUACGGGUGGCUGCAGUCGAGAAUAUUCCACAAUGGACGAAAGUCUGAUGGAGCGACGCCGCGUGCGGGAUGAAGGCCUUCGGGUUGUAAACCGCUUUUUUCAGGGAGCAAUUUCGAUGAGAGUACCUGAAGAAUAAGAGGUUACUAACUCUGUGCCAGCCGCCGCGGUAA
Molecule: ribosomal RNA, 469 nt
Filed under: uncultured bacterium
Lineage: Bacteria
Description: bacterial SSU rRNA
Rfam family: Bacterial small subunit ribosomal RNA
Source: RNAcentral